AGCCAUCAUUUAAAGAAAGCGUAAUAGCUCACUGGUCGAGUCGGCCUGCGCGGAAGAUGUAACGGGGCUAAACCAUGCACCGAAGCUGCGGCAGCGACACUCAGGUGUUGUUGGGUAGGGGAGCGUUCUGUAAGCCUGUGAAGGUGUGUCGUGAGGCAUGCUGGAGGUAUCAGAAGUGCGAAUGCUGACAUAAGUAACGAUAAAGCGGGUGAAAAGCCCGCUCGCCGGAAGACCAAGGGUUCCUGUCCAACGUUAAUCGGGGCAGGGUGAGUCGACCCCUAAGGCGAGGCCGAAAGGCGUAGUCGAUGGGAAACGGGUUAAUAUUCCCGUACUUGGUGUUACUGCGAAGGGGGGACGGAGAAGGCUAUGUUGGCCGGGCGACGGUUGUCCCGGUUUAAGCGUGUAGGUGUGUGUUCCAGGUAAAUCCGGAACACUGAGGCGUGAUGACGAGGCACUACGGUGCUGAAGCAACAAAUGCCCUGCUUCCAGGAAAAGCCUCUAAGCAUCAGGUAACAUCAAAUCGUACCCCAAACCGACACAGG
RNAcentral lists this ribosomal RNA (542 nucleotides) under Salmonella enterica subsp. enterica serovar Anatum. RNAcentral's name for it is "partial 23S ribosomal RNA". It matches the Rfam family "Bacterial large subunit ribosomal RNA", at positions 1114 to 1663 of the family's 2925-position model. Lineage: Bacteria; Pseudomonadati; Pseudomonadota; Gammaproteobacteria; Enterobacterales; Enterobacteriaceae. The record is from RNAcentral.